This 393-nucleotide ribosomal RNA is filed under the name Triticum aestivum (bread wheat). Its description in RNAcentral is "partial small subunit ribosomal RNA". The record is from RNAcentral. Lineage: Eukaryota; Viridiplantae; Streptophyta; Magnoliopsida; Poales; Poaceae.
AUGGAGUGGAGCUUCCUCUGCUCGAGAUGCCAUGGAUCUUGUGCUCGUCAAGGUCCUUCUUCCUCCAGCACAAGGAAAAGCAGAAGCAUCCGCCGCAUCAAGGAAACUUCGACAGGGAGAUCCAUAGUACGGAGAAGGUACUACGGAACCCGAAGAAGGUACUACGGAUCCUCUUCAUCUAUGGAGCCCGAAGAAGGUACUACUGAGAAGGUACUACGGAUCUUCCUCUGCAGGGCCGGCAACUUCUACUACCCGCCCGAAUGGAGCCUGAAGAAGGGUGGGCUGAACAAGUUCCAUGGCCAACAUGCCCUCAGGGAGCUGGCGAGGAAGCUGGACCAGGGCAUGCUGAUCAUAAGGUCUGGUUCCUGUGAUAUUACAUGCUUUCGUAUAUGA